Molecule: long non-coding RNA, 413 nt
Organism: Hemibagrus wyckioides
Lineage: Eukaryota; Metazoa; Chordata; Actinopteri; Siluriformes; Bagridae
Exons: 6
Source: RefSeq, a predicted model, not a curated record
CAAUAAAGUCUCGCGCACGUUUCUCUGCCCGCUCUCUUACUGGUGCUCAGUGUGCUGAGGAGGAAGGUUUGCUGAUAUGGGCCUCAGUUGCAGACGUCUUGAAGAUGGCAUUACUGAAUGGCCUGAAGAUGGCACCUAGCUGUUUGCUUCUUCUCUGUUGCAUUUGACUGCAUCCACUAAUCAAGUCGGUUCCUGUUACCACGUAAAAGGAGCUGAGAGUCCUGACUGAGGUCCGUGUCUAGAACCUGAUGAGAUUUCAUCCAGGACCCUUGUGCUGAAGAUUUUCAGAUCAAGUUACUGCACCGGAGGGACAGAGGAAGAGAUGUGGUGUACCUUCAACAUGGUCAUGAUUUUUAACAUGGAAUGCCAAGUUGAUUAUGUAACGACUGAUACAAAUAAAGCUCUGAAAUGUG